Molecule: ribosomal RNA, 460 nt
Filed under: Veillonella dispar
Lineage: Bacteria; Bacillati; Bacillota; Negativicutes; Veillonellales; Veillonellaceae
Description: bacterial SSU rRNA
Rfam family: Bacterial small subunit ribosomal RNA
Source: RNAcentral
GACGAACGCUGGCGGCGUGCUUAACACAUGCAAGUCGAACGAAGAGCGAUGGAAGCUUGCUUCUAUCAAUCUUAGUGGCGAACGGGUGAGUAACGCGUAAUCAACCUGCCCUUCAGAGGGGGGACAACAGUUGGAAACGACUGCUAAUACCGCAUACGAUCUAAUCUCGGCAUCGAGGAUGGAUGAAAGGUGGCCUCUAUUUAUAAGCUAUCACUGAAGGAGGGGAUUGCGUCUGAUUAGCUAGUUGGAGGGGUAACGGCCCACCAAGGCGAUGAUCAGUAGCCGGUCUGAGAGGAUGAACGGCCACAUUGGGACUGAGACACGGCCCAGACUCCUACGGGAGGCAGCAGUGGGGAAUCUUCCGCAAUGGACGAAAGUCUGACGGAGCAACGCCGCGUGAGUGAUGACGGCCUUCGGGUUGUAAAGCUCUGUUAAUCGGGACGAAAGGUCUUCUUGCGAA